GUGAGGCAGUCUCUGGGAGAGGGAAGUCACCAUCAUUACCUCCCUCUGAAGGUGGUCUAAAUGACACAUCAUCUUAUUGUCCUCUACCACUUUCUGGAUCUCAGAAAGGAAAUGUGGCAAAAAUUUCGGUUAUUAAUGCCUCUGACAAUGAUAAUGCAUCAAAGACGCAUAAACAAAUCAGAAAGGUUGAUCAUACAAAUGGGGC
RNAcentral lists this unclassified non-coding RNA (205 nucleotides) under Hevea brasiliensis (rubber tree). The record is from RNAcentral. Lineage: Eukaryota; Viridiplantae; Streptophyta; Magnoliopsida; Malpighiales; Euphorbiaceae.